UAAAUAGCGCCCUCAAGUGCUAAAUCAACGCGAUUUUUUUACAACACGGCCGGAGGCGCGACAUUGUAACUUCAUGAAUUUUGGUGAUUACUACCGGUAUCAGUGGAAGUCAAGGAGAGAAAAGAUGGCAAGACUCCAUCUGAGAUUUGCUCUUGGCUAGACCAGAACUUGCCACUGGAAAUUUGACAGUCAAAUUGAGAGUUCAUGGGUCCAUUCUUGGCAUACAUCUAGCAAUGCAGCUUCACAUACAGCAGGUGAAAGUACUGGAAAUGGAAAGCUAGUAUGGUGUAAUGUGUACACCUUGCAUGCAGCUAAUUACUGACACCGGGUACAUGUACAGAGACUGAAGAAUCAGGUUGUUGCUGCCUGCGGCACCUGAAUCCAAUGACCCAGGAAAUACAGAACAACGGAGCAAGAGGAUACAGGAAGUCCGACGUUCCGUGAGAUGAAGAAUCCCCCGUGGUCAUUGUGGGAUCUCUGUUCUUUGUAUGAGUGUGCUAGUGAUGACUCAUCUUGAUCAGAAUUUUAGCAGCCACAGAGAAUUACUGUAAGACUUCAGAAGAUGGUGUGGUUCUGAACUGAAUUGCUAUGGAAAGAGGGGGUUGUAAGUAUUUGGCAGUUCCUGUGUGUAAAUAUUGUACAUAUAAUGCCUGAAUCUGAAAAAGACAGUUUAUAUUAAGGUUUAAAUUUAUACCUCUUUGCUAGGUGCCGGUAUGCCCUGAGAAUGGGCGUCAAGAAAACAUUUAUUCAUUUCUCUCGCACCAAAGAGUACUGUUGGGCUGCCUAUCUUUGUCAAACUGCAAGUUUAGAUUAUUCACAAUGAAUUCGGAUAAAAAUACCCUUUUUUCUUGGCAAGGAAAUUUACCUGUUUUUUAAACCAAAAAACUAAGAACUUCAACAACUUUGAAUUGAUUUCAAUCAAGGG
Molecule: long non-coding RNA, 925 nt
Filed under: Acanthaster planci (crown-of-thorns starfish)
Lineage: Eukaryota; Metazoa; Echinodermata; Asteroidea; Valvatida; Acanthasteridae
Description: uncharacterized LOC110989894, transcript variant X2
Source: RNAcentral